UUAACGAACGAGAUCUUACCUUGCUAAAUAGUUACGUGUAACUUCGUUUACGCGGGCAGCUUCUUAGAGGGACUUUGUGUGUAUAACGCAAGGAAGUUUGAGGCAAUAACAGGUCUGUGAUGCCCUUAGAUGUUCUGGGCUGCACGCGCGCUACACUGAUGUGCUCAACGAGUUUAUGACCUUGCCCGGAAGGGUUGGGUAAUCUGUGUUAAAUCACAUCGUGAUGGGGAUCGAUUAUUGCAAUUAUUAAUCUUCAACGAGGAAUUCCUAGUAAGCGCGAGUCAUCAGCUCGUGCUGAUUACGUCCCUGCCCUUUGUACACACCGCCCGUCGCUCCUACCGAUUGAGUGUUCCGGUGAAUAAUUCGGACUGCGUUAACGCUCAGUUCCUGAACGUUGAUGUGGAAAGUCUGGUGAACCUUAACACUUAGAGGAAGGAGAAGU
RNAcentral lists this ribosomal RNA (442 nucleotides) under Dinophysis acuminata. Its description in RNAcentral is "SSU rRNA". It matches the Rfam family "Eukaryotic small subunit ribosomal RNA", at positions 1328 to 1789 of the family's 1831-position model. Lineage: Eukaryota; Dinophyceae; Dinophysales; Dinophysaceae. The record is from RNAcentral.